UGACAUUGCAUGGGUGGUUCGUUAGUACACA
RNAcentral lists this non-coding RNA (31 nucleotides) under Rattus norvegicus (Norway rat). The record is from RNAcentral. Lineage: Eukaryota; Metazoa; Chordata; Mammalia; Rodentia; Muridae.